CAUCAGCAGCUUCAGACAACAAAAGUCAAUUUCCUGCUCAUGCCACGUCUCCGGGGACUCACCACUUUAGCCUGCUUCACUCCUGUGCCCCUCCGUGAGCACCAUGGCAAUGGCAGUGUGUGGAAAACUGCACACCAAACCCUAAACCCUUUCUCUUAGAAAUGACACGGAGCACUUCUCACGUCUCACUGGCCAAAGGAAGUCACGUGGUCCUCACCUAACUUUAAGGGGGUCAACUUAUGCUUCAGCCAAGAUCAGUCAGCUCCAGGCACCGAUCAUCUAUACUCUUCCGUGACACAGGAGCCGGGAAGUGUCUUCCAUCUUGAUUCUAUUCUGGGAAUACAGCAGCCAUUAAUAAGUAAGGUUUCAUCAACACAGAGAAUUUGCUGAUUUGGUUGACAUUGAUGGUCAUUCUCCACUCGAGGAGUGAAAAUGUGUCUAUGAAGAAUGAAAUAUUUCAGUGAGAUCCAAGUGUCCCAUGUUUUCCCCCAUAAUUGCCUGAAUUAUGCUUUUGACAAAGAAUUUUGUCUUCAAGGGAAUGUUGAAAUGUAGCAUAAUGAAUAAAAAUAUGUCCACAAACAGAGGGGAAAAAGCACUGGUGUCAGUGUGAACAAAUAAAAUUAUGGUUUUCU
This is a long non-coding RNA of Pipistrellus kuhlii (Kuhl's pipistrelle), 632 nucleotides long. RefSeq lists it as uncharacterized. NCBI's taxonomy places the organism in Eukaryota, Metazoa, Chordata, Mammalia, Chiroptera, Vespertilionidae. The transcript is spliced from 2 exons. The record is from RefSeq and is a predicted model, not a curated record.